This 486-nucleotide ribosomal RNA is filed under the name Triticum aestivum (bread wheat). Its description in RNAcentral is "partial small subunit ribosomal RNA". Lineage: Eukaryota; Viridiplantae; Streptophyta; Magnoliopsida; Poales; Poaceae. The record is from RNAcentral.
AUGGCCUGCGCCUCCCCUCUGAUCGCGCUCCUUGUUGUCCUGGGUUGCGCUGCGGCGGCCUCUGCGGCAACGUUCACCGUCGGAGACGGGCAAGGGUGGACGACCGGCGCCAACUACGCCACCUGGGCCAGCGGCAAGACCUUCGCAGUUGGAGACAAGCUCGUGUUCAACUACGCCAGCCAGGCCCACACAGUGACCGAAGUCACCAAGAGCGAGUACGACGCCUGCUCCAGCAACACCAACGGUGACAACAGCGGCGCCACCACCAUGACCCUCAAAGCCGGCGCGAACUACUACAUCUGCACCAUCGGCACCCACUGCGCCGCCGGCAUGAAGCUCGCCGUCACAGCCGGCGACUCCAGCCCCGGUACCCCCGCGGCCGGGACGCCGCCUACCAACCCGUCCGGGUCCGGCGGCUACCGCAUGGAGGUCGGCCCCAUUCUCGCGGCCACCGCUGGCGUCCUCCUCAAGCUCGCCGUCUUCUGA